Molecule: ribosomal RNA, 253 nt
Filed under: uncultured bacterium
Lineage: Bacteria
Description: partial 16S ribosomal RNA
Rfam family: Bacterial small subunit ribosomal RNA
Source: RNAcentral
UACGAAGGGUGCAAACGUUGCUCGGAAUUAUUGGGCGUAAAGCGCACGUAGGCGGCAUUGCAAGUCGGAUGUGAAAUCCCUCGGCUUAACCAAGGAAGUGCAUCCGAAACUGCAGUGCUUGAGUACUUAAGAGGAUCGCGGAAUUCCGGGUGUAGUGGUGGAAUGCGUAGAGAUCCGGAGGAACACCAGCGGCGAAGGCGGCAUCCUGGACUGGUCCUGACACUCAGGAGCGAAAGCGUGGGGAGCGAUCCGG